Molecule: ribosomal RNA, 253 nt
Filed under: uncultured bacterium
Lineage: Bacteria
Description: partial 16S ribosomal RNA
Rfam family: Bacterial small subunit ribosomal RNA
Source: RNAcentral
UACAGAGGGGGCAAGCGUUGUUCGGAAUUACUGGGCGUAAAGGGCGCGUAGGCGGCCCUCUAAGUCAGACGUGAAAUCCCUCGGCUCAACCGGGGAACUGCGUCUGAUACUGGACGGCUUGAGUAUGGGAGAGGGAUGUAGAAUUCCAGGUGUAGCGGUGAAAUGCGUAGAUAUCUGGAGGAAUACCGGUGGCGAAGGCGGCAUCCUGGACCAUUACUGACGCUGAGGCGCGAAAGCUAGGGGAGCAAACGGG